AAUGAACGCUGGCGGCAUGCCUAACACAUGCAAGUCGAACGAGACCUUCGGGUCUAUUGGCGCACGGGUGCGUAACGCGUGGGAACCUGCCCUUAGGUUCGGAAUAACUCCCCGAAAGGGGUGCUAACACCGGAUAAUGUCUUCGGACCAAAGAUAUAUCGCCUUUGGAUGGGCCCGCGUUGGAUUAGCUAGUUGGUAGGGUAAAAGCCUACCAAGGCGACGAUCCAUAGCUGGUCUGAGAGAAUGAUCAGCCACACUGGGACUGAGACACGGCCCAGACUCUUGCGGGAGGCAGCAGUGGGGAAUGUUGGACAGUGGGGGGAAGGCUGAUCCAGCACUGCCGGGUGAGUGAUGAAGGCCUUAGGGUUGUAAAGCUCUUUUAACCGGGAUGAUAAUGACAGUACCGGGAUAAUAAGCUCCGGCUAACUCCGUG
This 433-nucleotide ribosomal RNA is filed under the name uncultured bacterium. Its description in RNAcentral is "partial 16S ribosomal RNA". It matches the Rfam family "Bacterial small subunit ribosomal RNA", at positions 29 to 507 of the family's 1533-position model. The record is from RNAcentral.